This 641-nucleotide ribosomal RNA is filed under the name Leifsonia sp. I15A-00299. Its description in RNAcentral is "bacterial SSU rRNA". It matches the Rfam family "Bacterial small subunit ribosomal RNA", at positions 94 to 749 of the family's 1533-position model. The record is from RNAcentral. Lineage: Bacteria; Bacillati; Actinomycetota; Actinomycetes; Micrococcales; Microbacteriaceae.
AGUGGCGAACGGGUGAGUAACACGUGAGUAACCUGCCCUUGACUCUGGGAUAACCUCCGGAAACGGAAGCUAAUACCGGAUACGAACUGCGAAGGCAUCUUCAGCAGUUGGAAAGAACUUCGGUCAAGGAUGGACUCGCGGCCUAUCAGGUAGUUGGUGAGGUAAAGGCUCACCAAGCCUACGACGGGUAGCCGGCCUGAGAGGGUGACCGGCCACACUGGGACUGAGACACGGCCCAGACUCCUACGGGAGGCAGCAGUGGGGAAUAUUGCACAAUGGGCGCAAGCCUGAUGCAGCAACGCCGCGUGAGGGAUGACGGCCUUCGGGUUGUAAACCUCUUUUAGUAGGGAAGAAGCGAAAGUGACGGUACCUGCAGAAAAAGCACCGGCUAACUACGUGCCAGCAGCCGCGGUAAUACGUAGGGUGCGAGCGUUGUCCGGAAUUAUUGGGCGUAAAGAGCUCGUAGGCGGUCUGUCGCGUCUGCUGUGAAAACCCGAGGCUCAACCUCGGGCCUGCAGUGGGUACGGGCAGACUAGAGUGCGGUAGGGGAGAAUGGAAUUCCUGGUGUAGCGGUGGAAUGCGCAGAUAUCAGGAGGAACACCGAUGGCGAAGGCAGUUCUCUGGGCCGUAACUGACGCUGA